This 225-nucleotide unclassified non-coding RNA is filed under the name Lecanicillium sp. RNAcentral describes it as "partial contains 5.8S ribosomal RNA, internal transcribed spacer 2, and large subunit ribosomal RNA". Lineage: Eukaryota; Fungi; Ascomycota; Sordariomycetes; Hypocreales; Cordycipitaceae. The record is from RNAcentral.
AACGCAACUUGCGCUGGGCAACCAGCAUGUCUGUUUGAGUACGGUAUAAUUGGUUGUGUGUGCGAGCACACGAGUUGAUUGCCGCUUGGUAGUCUAAAUGCGUGUUGGAAUACUGUGGGCGACGAGCUUGCAGACUGCUAGAACCGGACACGGUUUCUGUCUACACACUCGCCACCCACACUAAACUCACGUCUCAAAUCAGGCAAGACGACCCGCUGAACUUAA